This 965-nucleotide ribosomal RNA is filed under the name Biston falcata. RNAcentral's name for it is "partial 16S ribosomal RNA". Lineage: Eukaryota; Metazoa; Arthropoda; Insecta; Lepidoptera; Geometridae. The record is from RNAcentral.
UUUAAAUUUAUAGUUAAUUAGUAUUGUGAAAGAAUUUUGAAAUAUUAUGAAAAAUAAAAUUUUUAGAAAGUAAUUUUUAUUUAUUGUAUCUUGUGUAUCAGAGUUUAUUAAAAAUUUUUAAUUUAUAAAUUAAUUUCUCGAAUUUAAAAGAGUUAAAUAAUUAUUAAAGUUAUUGUAGCAAAAUUAUUUUAAAUAAUUAUUUAGAAAUGAAAUGUUAAUCGUUUUUAAAUAUAUCUAGUUUUUAUAGAAAAAAAUUUAAUUUUAAAUUUAAAAAUUAUUUAAUUAAUUUAUUAAUUAAAUAAUUAUUUAAAUUUUAUAAUUUAAGGGAUAAGCUUUAAAUUAAAUUUUUAUAAUAUUAAAUUUUUAUUUUGAAAAUUUUAUAAUUUAUAUUGUUAAUAAAUUUUAUUUUGUUAUAAAUAAUUUCAUUUUUUUUAAAAUUUAAAUUUUAUUUAAUUUUUUAUAUAAAAUUUAUUUAUAAUUAUAUAAAGUUAAUUAUAAUGAUAAAAUUAGUAUAUUAUUUAAUAUUAAAUUAAAAUUAAUUUUUGAUUAAUAAUUAAAUUAAUUAAAAGGAAUUCGGCAAAUAUUUAUUUUCACUUGUUUAUCAAAAACAUGUCUUUUUGUUAUUUAAUUUAAAGUCUAAUCUGCCCACUGAUUUAUAAAAAUUGAAGGGCUGCAGUAUAUUGACUGUACAAAGGUAGCAUAAUCAUUAGUCUCUUAAUUGGUGACUUGUAUGAAAGAUUGGAUGAAAAAUAUACUGUCUCUUAAUUAAUAUAUAGAAUUUAAUUUUUUAUUUAAAAAGUUAAAAUAAUUUAAAAAGACGAGAAGACCCUAUAGAGUUUAAUAAAUUAUUUUAUGAAAGUUUUAUUUAUAUUUACUAAUAAUUUUAUAAAUUUAUUUAUUUUGUUGGGGUGAUAAAAAAAUAAAUUUAACUUUUUUUAAGUAAUUUACAUGAAUAAGUGAUUAAU